AUGUGAAGAAUGCAAAGAAGAAAGUUAUUGGCCCAAGCAAGCCUCCUGUGACCAUGUCUAAGCAGUACCCAGAAGAUGACCCCGACUACUGCGUUUGGGUUCCUCCAUCGGGUCAGACCGGUGAUGGUCGAACACAUCUAAACGAUAAGUACGGAUACUGAAUACAGAAAGGAAAGACCGUCCUCACUGGAUCAGGAAUGGAAUCAGUCCAACCGUUCAUCUUAGCCCUUGGGAGUGGACAGAUAUAUCAUUUUUUCCAAUCUUUAUGCCAAAACAGUGAACUUUUUGAAAGAUGUUAGGUUAGAAUAAGAUGUUUCUUGCACUUGUUAUUGAAAACUGUUUGGUCCUGUGACUGAUUUUCACUUCCCUUUGCCCUGUUUUCAUUAAAAUACAUUCAUUUUCCACACCUGGUCUGAGGCCAAGGAUAGUUUUGGAGUGGAGGUAGCUUAAGGUUGGGGAAAAUAUUAUUCUAUUUUCAGGGUUGUUUUCCUGGGCGCACAAUGUUUUGGAGUUUCUGUUUUGCUGCUUAUUCAAUUCGAAAUGUAUUCCAUUUGACAUUGUAUUUUCUUCAAAUGCGUCAGUCGUGUCAAUCCACUUGUGUCUAAGCACUUCUGUUGUUGACAAAUCUCUACGCACAUCUUGCUGUUCUGGGAUCAUUUCAGCAAGCUUAAGUGAGCUCAUUGACCACUCAGUGUGCUGUUCUGGGUCAUUCUCGGAACGACGGCGGACUCCCUCCUCGGUUUGGCUGAGUGGCCACGCUCCGUAUGGCGAGAGCUCCUGUUGGAUGCGGUUCUGUUGACUGCUAACGAUGCCUCCUCAGAGAAAGGCGGCUUUACCAGCCAUCUGCACACUUGCUUGGUAUUCUAGGAUUGGGAGUGAGCUGUUAAUGAAUCAGUCUAUGUGUGUGUGUUUGCAAGAAAGGGAGUGAUAGUGAGCUCCGUGUACAUUAUUAAUGUGUGUAUUUACUUCCCUUGAUAUUAAUGAAGACUGACUCAAUGAUGUGCGCGCUUGUGUGUGUGUGUUGGCGUCUCCGAAGAUGGGUUAGGCCCCCCACAUUCACUACUACGCACUGGUCUCUCUGUUUAUCCAAUCGUUUUAGUGCUUUUGAAUUCUCUACUGUUUGGGGAGAGCAUGAUUAGUCAUUUACAAAAUGUGUGUUUUGUUAUGUUUUGUCAAUUAAAAAUUUACGCUGUGUCUCACCAA
Molecule: long non-coding RNA, 1203 nt
Organism: Cyprinus carpio (common carp)
Lineage: Eukaryota; Metazoa; Chordata; Actinopteri; Cypriniformes; Cyprinidae
Exons: 3
Source: RefSeq, a predicted model, not a curated record